Etheostoma cragini (Arkansas darter) is the source of this 1382-nucleotide long non-coding RNA. RefSeq lists it as uncharacterized. The record is from RefSeq and is a predicted model, not a curated record. The transcript is spliced from 3 exons. NCBI's taxonomy places the organism in Eukaryota, Metazoa, Chordata, Actinopteri, Perciformes, Percidae.
GCUGUCAAAUUAUCUCUCAUUUGAUGGCUGUCAAUCAGCGAGGGCGUAAUGACGUACCAAAAACUUGAGCCUGGAGUGACUUUUGAGGAGUGAAACGUAUUCUUGACACUGAAAGCCGCAGUGGCGAGUGGGCAUGCAGAAACUGGUCGAAAAGAUCUCAAAUCCCGGGUUUGCUUGACCUCACUGUAAGGAAAGCCGUGCUCACCCAGACUACUCUGUUAUCUUAACCACAUCAGAGAACUACAAAGCAUCUCGGCUCUACGGACAUUCAGCACUCGAUAAUCUAUGAGUCAUCGUGAACCUCUGCUGCUGCAGGAUUGUGACUGAAGCACACUAGCAGCUGAAAUUGAUCAUCAACCAUCCUACUGCUCAAAACAGCGUGGGCAGAGGGAGAGCAAGGUCACAGCCAAGGACUUGCCACAAUCAGUGAUGGGCUGCAGAAGGGGGCUUAUGUGUCACGGCACAGCUGUUACGCUACAUACUCUGAGUCACAAGCACACCUUUGCGAAUGCAGAACAUCACCUUAAUUACCUUAAUGCCAGACUGUCUCUCCCCAUCUGGAUAGAUUCUGCCCUGGAAGCCUUAAUCUAAGUCUUAUUUCGACCAUCCCCACACACUGUUUUGGGAGUAAAAUCCUAGCAUUGCCUUGGCUUAUCUGUUUUUAUUUCCUGUCAGGUUUAAGUGUUUUAUGGUUCAGCAGUUCAGAGAAAGGGAGGUUUGUCUGAUGAUAGACAACAUGGCUAGGGGCAGUUGUGCUGUGUGCUCGUCAUGCUGAACCGAGCCCGGAGCAGGUUAAGGGAUAAUUUUGUGUCUGUACUAUCUGGAAGGACCGUCUCAGCUGCCAAUGCAAAGAUAAGCAAGGAGGAUGCUGCUGCUGCAGCCUGUUGAGCUGCCUGCAUCUGGGUCUGCAUCAUUCCAGGCUGACAAACAACUUGAGGAACAAUCUUGGGCAAGUGCAUUGUUUACCAUCACAUCUAGGAAAGCCAUGUAGUCUCUGUGCUAGGUGCAAAAGUUGAUUAUUUAUUUUAAAAACAACAGUAUUCCUGUGUGGAAAUGACAAUAAAACAUCAGAUUUUUACUGGUAGACGUGGGACACAUACACUAUUAAUAAUAUAAACACAUAGAGGAAAAAUCAAAAGAAAAAAACAUUAGUAAAGUGUUGGCACUUGAAGCAAUCAGAAAUGUAUCAUAAUAUAUGUAUACAUCAUCUCUUUUGUAACCAAAAACUUAAUCUGAUAAAUGUAGUUUCCCACUGAAAUAUAGUGGUAAUAUGCCGUAACAUAGUAUCAUAUGAAAAUACCCUAGUAAAUACAAGUAUAACUGAUGGUUGGUGUGACAUUAAGUCACAAAGGUCAAGUGCCAGCUGUCUGCACAUGGAGUGG